Long non-coding RNA from Mytilus californianus (California mussel), 1353 nucleotides. RefSeq lists it as uncharacterized. The transcript is spliced from 2 exons. Lineage: Eukaryota; Metazoa; Mollusca; Bivalvia; Mytilida; Mytilidae. The record is from RefSeq and is a predicted model, not a curated record.
AUUGUACCACAAGGUUCCGUACCAAAAAAGGAAGGUUGGGAUUGAUUUUGGGGUUUAUGGCCCUAACUGUUAAGUUAAAAGGGUCCAAAAACAAUAUUUUUCUGUGGUUUAAUUCAAAGUCUUGAAUUCUUGGGGUUCUUUAAUAUGCUGAUUAUAGAUUUUGAAUUGGUCCAAAUUGAAGUCCAAAGGGUCCAAAAUUAAACUUUGUUUGAUUUCAUCAAAAAUUGAAUUAUGGGGGUUCUUUGAUAUGAUGAAUCUAACCGUGUAUUUAGAUAUUUAAUUGUAGGGCCCUUUUCAAAUUGGUUCAAAUAAAGGUCCAAAGAGUCCAAAAUUAUACUUUCUUUGAUUUUAAAAAAAUGAAUUCUUGAGGAUUUUUGAUAUGCUGAAUCUAUCCCGUGUAUUUAGAUUUUUGAUUUAGGGACCGGUUUUCAAAUUGGUUCACAUUGAGGUGCAAAGGGUCCAAAAUUAAAUCAAGUUUGAUUUUUAACAAAAAUUGAAUUCAAGGGGUUCUUUGAUAUGCUGAAUCUAAACAUGUAUUUAGAUUUUUGAUUUUUGGGCCCAGUAUUCAAGUUGAUAAAAAUCAGGGUCCAAAAUUAAAAUUUGGUUUGAUUUCACGCUCCGUUUUUUUUCAUCUUAAAAAAUUUACAAUUUCCAGAUUUUUUAUUCAUUUCUGUUACCAGUAACCAACUGGGAACAGAGAUUGAUUAAGGGAAGGGCAUGAAAUAUAAGGGUAAUUAGUAAAAGGUGGUGUCUAAGAACGCAAAUCGUGGUAUGUCACAAAUUUCAGUAAUUAGAAAACCGUGGAUUUUUUUAUUUAUAUAAUGACUUUGUGUCAGAAAAUUUAGACUAUAAAUAAUAUCCAAAGCGCAAGAAUAGUGGAACACAUUGGUACAAAAAAACAUGACUGGACAUCUACCUAGUACGAUGAUGCAUCAGCACAUUGAUGACUAUACAUCGGCGCAUUGCAAACAGACACUUUAUGAGUGCAAUAAUAAAAAAUAAUUUUGUGCAAAAAUUAAAAUAAAUUGUUUCGCCAAGCGCAGCUGGAUACGACCGCAGAAGUCCAACCCUGAAGAGUUGGGGCAAAAAUGGACACAAUAUUCGCGCUUGAUACAGGUCUGAAUUAGGAUUGUAAUUAAAUAUUUGACACAUAAAAGGUUUCUGACAUAGAAUAACUGUAGUCAAAGAACUUAGAAUUGAUUAUAUAAUUUGAAUUUAUAUUCAAUUUUUUGCUUUUGUGCAAUACACUUUGCUGUUGCGAAUUGACCCCCUCUCCGCCCACGAAAAAAAAAAAAUUUACCCCCCCCCCUUUUUUUUUGCUUUUGUGCAAUACACUAUGCUGUUGCGUAUUAA